Molecule: long non-coding RNA, 570 nt
Filed under: Glycine max (soybean)
Lineage: Eukaryota; Viridiplantae; Streptophyta; Magnoliopsida; Fabales; Fabaceae
Description: long non-coding RNA (GMAX_LNC001216)
Source: RNAcentral
GAGAGAGAGAGAGGUUUGAAAGGGUCAGGUCUGUGCCGGCAAUCGAUAUAGGUAAAAACAUGUGUUCUUAUUUGGUGUCUUUGAUUUUCAAGCUUUUUGACUCUUGCUAGCACUGCGAACACAUUUCUCAACUAUCGUUAUAAGGAUUUUUGUAAGUCUUCUUUUUAAAAUAUUUAACUUAUUUUAUUUUUCUUGGCAUAUGUUAAUAUAUAUGGGCGAAUGAUGAUGACUUCUUCUUAUGAUAGGUUGCUCACAUGAUUUCAUAAAGUGGAACUUUACAGAAAAUGACACGGUUACAGGUAAGUAAGUUGUCUUAAAUCAACCGUGGGUACGUAUUUAUGUCGUAAUGUAUGCUGCUAUGCCAUUGCCAACUAUUGAAUUGGGGAAAAAAAAAACAGUAACCUCUAACUAAUGCAUCCUAACAUGUUGCUUCACAUAGAAGUCACUUAAAUUUCUUAAGGUAGUCAUUUUGGGUUUGAAGUGAAGUGAUUUAAAUUUUUUAAGCAUAUAAUUUUGAAUUCGAUAUUAAAUUUUGUGUAUAGAAACAUAUUAAAAGGUUUCCAUUUUAAC